This 71-nucleotide transfer RNA is filed under the name Salganea quinquedentata. Its description in RNAcentral is "tRNA-Trp". The record is from RNAcentral. Lineage: Eukaryota; Metazoa; Arthropoda; Insecta; Blattodea; Blaberidae.
AAGACUUUAAGUUAAAACAAACUAUUAUCCUUCAAAGCUAAAAAUGAAGACUUAUAUAUCUUUAAGUCUUA